Molecule: transfer-messenger RNA, 359 nt
Filed under: Planctomycetota bacterium
Lineage: Bacteria; Pseudomonadati; Planctomycetota
Also listed under: 2 other names
Description: Planctomycetes bacterium (marine metagenome) transfer-messenger RNA
Rfam family: transfer-messenger RNA
About the family: Bacterial tmRNA, also known as 10Sa RNA or SsrA, is named for its dual tRNA and mRNA-like properties.
Source: RNAcentral
GGGGGCGAAUUGGCUUCGACCGGAUAGGUUGAAGUGUCAGUGGCGUGUCGUGGUUGGUCAGUUGGCCACGUUAAAAGCUGACCACUCUAUUUAUUUGCCGAGGAAAACCUCGUACUGGCUGCGUAACAUUCGUAGCCCCGGCUGAGGGAUUUAGCCGAAGAGUCCCAAAAGCCGGUCGCCAAAUUCGGAUCGCCGACGGUCAUGUCUGGCACGUCGUCGGUUAAAAAAGUUCCGGGCUAGGCUAGCGAAGAGCCUGUCGAUUGGCGCUUCGCGGUCAAAAACCAAAUAAUCGACUAUGCACGUAGAAGCUGGCAUGGAAAUAUCACGGGACGCGGGUUCGAUUCCCGCCGCCUCCACUG